RNAcentral lists this small nucleolar RNA (119 nucleotides) under Echinops telfairi (small Madagascar hedgehog). RNAcentral's name for it is "Small nucleolar RNA SNORA61 (ENSETEG00000026331.1)". Lineage: Eukaryota; Metazoa; Chordata; Mammalia; Afrosoricida; Tenrecidae. The record is from RNAcentral.
GCCCUCCAGAGUCUGUAUUCAUCGCGGCUAAGCACUGCUGAGUGGCUGUAAAAGGAGGAAAAGUAAAACUGAAAGAGACUUGUAUUUUUUCGUGACACACAUGUUGGUUUCAAACAAGC